UUGAAACCCGUCCUGGGGAAGCUGGUCGUUGUGCUGGGCGACGAGUACAAGCGUUUCAAGGGAGUGCACAGCCAGAUAAAGUUCCUCGCCGAUGAACUCAUGGCCAUCCAUGCUUUUCUGCUGAAAAUGUCUAAGGUCGAGAAUCCUGAUGCGCAAGACAUGGCAUGGAUGAAUGAGGUGCGGGAUCUGUCCUACGACAUCGAAGACAGCCUCGACGAAUUCAUGCUACGCGAUGACACUAAGCCAUAUGGCUUUAUUGAGAAGAUCAAGAAUUUGUUAGAGAAGACCAGGAGUCGGAGUAGUAUUGCCAAAGCAAUCCAAGAUUUGAAGAAGCAAGUGAUUAUGGUGGGCGAGAGGCAUGCAAGGUACAAGAUUGGUGAGGGUGUCUCCAAGACAAGCAACACUACUGUCGACCCUAGAGCUCUUGCUAUAUUUACGGACAUGUCAAACCUUGUCAGUAUUGAUGGGCCGAAGCAUGAUGUUAUCACAUUGCUUACUGAAGAAGUUGGGGGUAAAUCAACGCAACAACAUCCAAAGGUGGUCUCUAUUGUUGGUUUUGGUGGACUGGGUAAGACGACUCUUGCACACCAAGUAUAUGAAGAGUUGAAAGGG
Molecule: ribosomal RNA, 612 nt
Filed under: Triticum aestivum (bread wheat)
Lineage: Eukaryota; Viridiplantae; Streptophyta; Magnoliopsida; Poales; Poaceae
Description: partial small subunit ribosomal RNA
Source: RNAcentral